GUGACAACCUCGACGCGUUCAGUUCUGUGCCAAUCGGUGAAAAAAUACAGCCACAACGUGCGCAAGUCGCGUGCGGACUUCUGCUAAGGCCUAUUUCGCAAAUUGCAGCGCGCCGUGGAACGCAACGUGCGGGCAUUAGGGACUGAAACUCAAACCGUGCCGAACCGAACUGAACCGAACCGAAAAUCAAGUAGAGUACCGUUCAAAUCAUCGCUUCAGCUCAGCUUUCAUAGCCAACACGUGUUGGCCUCGCAUUAGAAAGCUCAUUGCGAAGGGCACUUGACACGAACCGUAAGUCAAACGGUCAAAAGGCCACAGCAAAACGCUUUAAUUGCGUCUGGCUAAAGGGAUUUACUGCUUACCCUCAAAGGGCUCCGUUUUUGUGCGUUCGAGUAAGCGGUUUAAGUGAAUUGUGCGUGUAUCACAAGUCGGGCCAGAGACAUCACCCAAUCGAGCUUUGUGCCAGCAGCGGACUCAGUCGACUGUCUAGCCGACAGACCGAAUAGCAAAUCACACCUAAAGCAGCGGGCAACUGACCUCCAUCUGUGCAGCAAUCAACACUAUUCCCACUCCACCGUGACAACUCUGGCAGCUUCAAUUUGGAAAUCAAUGGAUUGCAAUUAUGAGCAAGCUAAGUGAAGCCCGAGAAAAGUUCAUUAGCAGCAGCUACAAUAACAACAACAACAGCAGCAACAACAGCAGCAGCAACAGCCUCGACAUCGACGACAGCCACAAUAAUCAACAACAUCAUCGGCAGCAAAAUGUAAACGGCUAAAGGAGGACUCGACAGCUGGGUCCGUGAGCUCUGCAGUAGCAAAGUUAAAGACAC
Drosophila mojavensis is the source of this 829-nucleotide long non-coding RNA. RefSeq lists it as uncharacterized. Lineage: Eukaryota; Metazoa; Arthropoda; Insecta; Diptera; Drosophilidae. The transcript is spliced from 3 exons. The record is from RefSeq and is a predicted model, not a curated record.